GCUGCGAGCGAACAGGGAAGAGCCCAGCACCGAAUCCCGCGGCCGAUACCGGACGCCGGGAAAUGUGGUGUUAGGGAGGGUCCAUUAUCCCGAGGUUAUGCGGUGCGUCCAAGUCCUUCUUGAACGGGGCCACAGCCCAUAGAGGGUGCUAGGCCCGUAGUGACCGCUGCUAAUCGCGGGAGGAUCUCUCCUCAGAGUCGGGUUGCUUGAGAGUGCAGCCCUAAGUGGGUGGUAAACUCCAUCUAAGGCUAAAUAUGACCACGAGACCGAUAGCGAACAAGUACCGUGAGGGAAAGUUGAAAAGCACUUUGAAGAGAGAGUUAAAGAGUACGUGAAACCGUUUAGGGGUAAACCUGAGAAAUCCGAAAGGUCGAAGGGAGAAAUUCAUUCGCGUCUCGCUAUUAGCGUUAAGCGGUCGUGUGACGGAGAACGUUCGCGCGUUCACCGCGCCUUCCGUUUUUCGAUCCGAUGGCGAACGCGUGCACUUUUCUCCUGGUAGGACGUCGCGAUCCGUUGGGUGUCGGUCUACGGCUCUCGGUGGAGCCCGUGCGUACGGCUUGCCGUCACGCGCGGACCCGAGUGUCCCGGCUGACUCGCUCGACGGUAUACGAAAGGUUUAAGGCCGCUCUUUUUUGAGCGUUCGGCUCGUUGCAAGCGCGCCGGAUGUGUUGGCGAUCGGACCUAGCGCCGGUUCUGACCUCCGGUGACUGUUGGCGACGAAGUUCUCGAACAGACCUCUAACCGAUCUGCGAC
RNAcentral lists this ribosomal RNA (753 nucleotides) under Scepticus griseus. RNAcentral's name for it is "eukaryotic LSU rRNA". It matches the Rfam family "Eukaryotic large subunit ribosomal RNA", at positions 86 to 628 of the family's 3401-position model. The record is from RNAcentral. Lineage: Eukaryota; Metazoa; Arthropoda; Insecta; Coleoptera; Curculionidae.